This 347-nucleotide unclassified non-coding RNA is filed under the name soil metagenome. RNAcentral's name for it is "partial contains 5.8S ribosomal RNA, internal transcribed spacer 2, and large subunit ribosomal RNA". The stretch from base 1 to 120 matches the Rfam family "5.8S ribosomal RNA", at positions 35 to 154 of the family's 154-position model. The record is from RNAcentral.
GAUGAAGAACGUAGUGAAAUGCGAUAAUUAAUGUGAAUUGCAGAAUUCAGUGAAUCAUCGAGUCUUUGAACGCACAUUGCGCCCCCUGGUAUUCCGGGGGGCAUGCCUGUCCGAGCGUCAUUGCUGCCCUCAAGCACGGCUUGUGUGUUGGGCUUCCGUCCCUGGCAACGGGGACGGGCCCAAAAGGCAGUGGCGGCACCAUGUCUGGUCCUCGAGCGUAUGGGGCUUUGUCACCCGCUCCCGUAGGUCCAGCUGGCAGCUAGCCUCGCAACCAAUCUUUUUAACCAGGUUGACCUCGGAUCAGGUAGGAAUACCCGCUGAACUUAAGCAUAUCAAUAAGCGGAGGA